UGAUGUGGGAGUGAUUUCUUAUUAAUAAAGAAACUGCCUUGGCCCAUUUUAUUGGAUAGAAAAUUAGGUAGGCGGAGUAGACAGAGGAGAAUGCUGGGAAAAAGAAGCU
Long non-coding RNA from Alexandromys fortis (reed vole), 109 nucleotides. RefSeq lists it as uncharacterized. NCBI's taxonomy places the organism in Eukaryota, Metazoa, Chordata, Mammalia, Rodentia, Cricetidae. The transcript has 2 exons. The record is from RefSeq and is a predicted model, not a curated record.